Molecule: ribosomal RNA, 465 nt
Filed under: Vreelandella stevensii
Lineage: Bacteria; Pseudomonadati; Pseudomonadota; Gammaproteobacteria; Oceanospirillales; Halomonadaceae
Description: partial 16S ribosomal RNA
Rfam family: Bacterial small subunit ribosomal RNA
Source: RNAcentral
CCUACGGGAGGCAGCAGUGGGGAAUAUUGGACAAUGGGGGGAACCCUGAUCCAGCCAUGCCGCGUGUGUGAAGAAGGCCCUCGGGUUGUAAAGCACUUUCAGUGAGGAAGAACGCCUGGUGGUUAAUACCCAUCAGGAAAGACAUCACUCACAGAAGAAGCACCGGCUAACUCCGUGCCAGCAGCCGCGGUAAUACGGAGGGUGCGAGCGUUAAUCGGAAUUACUGGGCGUAAAGCGCGCGUAGGUGGCUUGAUGAGCCGGUUGUGAAAGCCCCGGGCUCAACCUGGGAACGGCAUCCGGAACUGUCAAGCUAGAGUGCAGGAGAGGAAGGUAGAAUUCCCGGUGUAGCGGUGAAAUGCGUAGAGAUCGGGAGGAAUACCAGUGGCGAAGGCGGCCUUCUGGACUGACACUGACACUGAGGUGCGAAAGCGUGGGUAGCAAACAGGAUUAGAUACCCUGGUAGUC